UUCUUUCAGCUUGAAAGUGUAACAAUGACGUAACAGCUUCUUAGAUCAUUAACUCCAUUUCAAAGGAAAUUGCCACCAACCUAGUCUAUAAUGGAAGUGUAAAAGAAAUAUGGGAUGAGUUAAAGAAGAGAUACUGACAGUCUAAUGGGCCUCACAUAUACCAGCUGCGAAAAGAUUUGGUAACCACCACUCAAGGCAGUCUCUCAGUUGAAACAUAAAAUGCAAAGGUUACCACCAUAUGGCAAGAACUUGUUUAAUAUAGGCCUAUGGAUGAAUGUACCUGUGAAGGGUCAAAGAAGAUGAUCGUUUUUUUAAAUGCUGAGUUUGAGAUGAUUUUCCUUAUGGGAUUGAAUGAGUCCUACUCCCAAUUCCGAGCACAAAUCUUGCUUAUUGAUCCCUUGCCACUAAUAAAUAAAGUAUUCUCUCUUAUCAUCCAAGAAGAAAGACAGAGAUCCAUUGGAUCUUCCCCUUCCAUUGAAAGAAUUACGUUGAUGGCUAAUACUAAGAAUAGAUUCUCUUUCGAAAGGUCCAAGAAGAAAAACACACAGCCGAUAUGUUCUAAUUGUGGUUGCAGAGGCCACAUUGCUGACAAGUGCUAUAAGCUACAUGGAUACCCACCAGGACACAGAUUGGCAAAUAAUAAUUCAGUGCAUCAACAAGGUAGAAUAAUUCUGUCCAAAUCGAAAGUGAGAAGAUAACAGAAGCUCCUAAAGGGAAUCCGUCUGCAUUCUUUGCAAGCCUUAACAAUGAUCAAUAUUCACAACUCUUAAAUAUGCUCCAAAGUUCCAAACACGCCUCAACACUUACCAAAAUGGUGAUAGUUCCAAAACAGAAACCACUCAUAUAGCAGCACUCAAAAUAUGUCAGUUAUAUUGCCCAUUAAAACUCGCUUAAAGGUUGAGUACACAUAGGAGACAUCUCCAGAGCAAAGCAAGUGAUACUGAAAGAUGUCCUUUAUAUUCCUGACUUCAAAUACAAUCUGCUAUCAGUGAGUGUCCUUCUCAAGGAUAAAAGAUAUUCUGUAUCCUCUCUAACUCUGAUUGUAUUAUUCAGAACAAUUCACUUUUGAAAAUGAUUGGGAAGGUUGAACUAACCCGUGGACUCUACUUACUCAAAAUAAAAGUAGAAAAGAGCAAAGACUACCCCAUCCAACAUACUGCACUGAUCUGUAAAGCCUCAACAUCCACAUGGCACAACCACAUGGGACAUCCUUUUGUCAGUAGAAUAAAAGAACUAUAAAAAUUGAUAGAAAUUUCUGAUUCUUUAAACUGUAAAGAAGUCUGUCAUAUAUGUUCCUUAGCUAAACAGAGGCGUCUUUCUUUUCUUGCUUUGAACAAUAUUGAUGAACAUACUUUUGAUCUUGUGCGCUGUGAUGUAUGGGAUCCAUUUAAAACGCAAACACAUGCUGGUCAUUCUUAUUUUGCCACCAUUGUUGAUGAUAAGUCAAGUUAUACAUGGAUUUAUCUUUUGAGAAAUAAAAAUGAAAUUCUAUAAGUCAUCCUUUGUUUCUUCAAGCUUAUUGAGAACCAAUUCUCAAAGAUGAUCAAAGCAUUUCGUUCUGAUAAUGCUCUUGAGUUAAAUUUCAGAGACUUCUUUGCUAAAACUGGAACCAUCCACCAGUUCUCAUGUGCCUAUACUCUUCGACAAAACUUGGUUGUUGAAAGAAAACAUCGGCACCUUCUCAAUGUAGCAAGAGCCUUGAUGUUCCAGUCCAAUGUUCCCCUUACCUUCUGGGGAGAAUGUAUCUUGAGUGCAGCCUGCUUGAUCAACAGGACACCCAUGGUCCUGCUUUCAAAUAGCACCCCUUUCGCCACUUUGUUUAACAAAGAUGCAGACUACAACAUUAUAAAAACUUUUGGUUGCCUCGCUUACGCCUCUACACCAACAAACAGAUCCAAAUUUGAUCCAAGAGCACAAGCUUGUAUCUUCAUGGGAUUCCCACCAGGCUACAAAUUGUAUGACAUAACUAAGAAGAACUUUUUUUCCAGGGAUGUCUUAUUCUUGAAGAACUGUUUCCAUUUCAUUCUAUCAAAGAAGAUGACAACUCUCAUUGAACAAUUUGUCAUACCAUGCCCUUUAUUUGAUUGCUAGCAAAGGCAUCAUCACACAACACACUGCUGGAAAUCCUAUCACUCACACAUCAGAAAAUACUUAUGAAGACAACCACGGUGAUGAUGUUCUAAAUACCCACAUUGAAACCUCAUAAGAAACCAACAACCCUACCCAAGAAACCAUAUCCAUGGCACCAAGAAGGCCAUCACGACCACAUUAUCCACCUUCCUACCUAAAAGACUUCCAUUGCAACCUCACUUCCCAAAGGAAAUCAGCCCUUUAUUUGAUUGCUAGCAAAGGCAUCAUCACACAACACACUGCUGGAAAUCCUAUCACUCACACAUCAGAAAAUACUUAUGAAGACAACCACGGUGAUGAUGUUCUAAAUACCCACAUUGAAACCUCAUAAGAAACCAACAACCCUACCCAAGAAACCAUAUCCAUGGCACCAAGAAGGCCAUCACGACCACAUUAUCCACCUUCCUACCUAAAAGACUUCCAUUGCAACCUCACUUCCCAAAGGAAAUCAGCCUUUUCCCUCACCAAAUACCUCUCAUAUACUGCAUAUACCCAGAACCACAAAAAUUACCUACCAAAUGUUGCCUCCACUUAUGAACCUUCCUACUAUCACCAAGCUGUAAAACACUGAAUUGGAGAAAAGCUAUGGCAGAAGAAAUGGACAUAAAUAAUGGAAGAGAAAUUGUCACUGUCAUCUAGCCCUUGCUACAUUCUACAAUUGGUCCCUUACUCAAAUGGACAUAAAUAAUGCCUUCUUAAAUGGAGAUUUGUUUGAAGAAGUGCACAUGUCCUUACCAUUGGGCUAUCAAACCUCACAGGGGCUAGGUAAAGGAGAAAAGCUAGCCUGCAAACUUAUCAACUCCAUAUAUGGCCUUAAGCAAGUUUCAAGACAGUGGUUCCUAAAGUUUGCAGCAACUCUAUCCUCACAUGGUUUUCACCAAUCAAAGUUUGAUUAGUCUCUGUUUACCUGAGGUAAUGGAAGCAACUUUGUAGCGUUGUUAGUAUAUGUAGAUUACAAAUUACUAACUGGACCAUCUCCCCAAAUCAACUCAGUGAAAGACAUCCUCAAGGGACACUUCAAACUCAAUGAAGAUUUGGGACAAGCAAAAUAUUUUCUGGGCUUAGAGUUAUCACGGUCCCAACAGGGACUCAUGCUCUCCCAAAGAAAAUACUGCCUUCAGAUACUUGAAGACAUUGGUUUUCUUGAUGCCAAACCAGCUAAAGCACCCAUGGAUCCUUAUUUGAAACUAUCAAAAAAUGAAGGAAAACCCCUUGAUGAAGAAGACAUCACCUGCUAUAGAAGACUACUUGGAAGGCUAAUAUAUCUUCAGAUAUCCAGUCCAGACAUUUGCUUUGCUGUUCACUGCCACAACUAGUUCAUCCAAAGUCCUACAAAGAUCCACUUAGAUGCUGCUCAUCACUUAUUAAAAUACCUAAAAAGUUCUCCGGUGACAAGGUAUUCUAAUAAGACCUAUCACUUCCUUUCACCUAAAGGCCUUUGUGGAUGUUGAUUGGGGAUCAAGGGGGAUCAUGUCUUGACACUAGAAGAUCUAUAACUGGGUUAUGCAUCUUCAUAGGAGAUUCCAUAAUCUCUUGGAAAUCCAAAAAGCAAGCAACUGUCUCCCGAUCUUCGGCAGAAGCCGAGUACAGGGCCUUAGCAUCAGUGAUAUGGAUCACACAGCUUAUUACUGACCUUCAUGUGAAAGUCUUAAUGCCAACAACAGUGUUAUGUGACAAUCAAGCAACAACUGCAAUUGCUUCUAAUCCAACGUUUCAUGAAAGAACGAAGCAUAUAGAAAUUGAUUGCCACUUCGUCCGAGACAAGAUAGUUGAUGGAUUUCUUAAAGUCCUACCUGUCAAAUUCAGCCUACAACUAGCAGAUAUGUUCACUAAAGCACUACCUGCAUCUACCUUAUCUAGACUAAUAUCCAAGCUGGGAAUCAUUGACAUUCAUCGUCCAACUUGAGGGGGAGUAUUAACAAUGAAACUGUCAGUUUGUUACAAACUGUUAUGUAGUUUACCAGUUAAUUAGUGAGAUAGAAGUUACCAAGUUCCUCUAUAUAAAGAACUUGGGUUCUGUAAAUAAAUUAUAAGAGAAUAAAUGAAAUUCUUUUGUACAA
Cucumis sativus (cucumber) is the source of this 4190-nucleotide long non-coding RNA. RefSeq lists it as uncharacterized. The record is from RefSeq and is a predicted model, not a curated record. NCBI's taxonomy places the organism in Eukaryota, Viridiplantae, Streptophyta, Magnoliopsida, Cucurbitales, Cucurbitaceae. The transcript has 2 exons.